Molecule: small RNA, 207 nt
Filed under: Streptomyces nanshensis
Lineage: Bacteria; Bacillati; Actinomycetota; Actinomycetes; Kitasatosporales; Streptomycetaceae
Description: c-di-AMP sequence
Rfam family: c-di-AMP riboswitch aptamer (ydaO/yuaA leader)
About the family: This family represents a conserved RNA structure found upstream of the ydaO and yuaA genes in Bacillus subtilis and related genes in other bacteria.
Source: RNAcentral
GGGCCGCCUCCGCCGAAUCCGGCGCGUCCCCCCACGGUCGCACCGGAACCGGGGACCCACCGCGUACGCGGAACGCAGCGUACGCACCCGGGGUGAAUCGGGAGUCGUACCGCGGAGGGCCGCACGCGCCGCGCAUCGACCCGUAGGGCCGCCUUCCGAGAGCCCGAACCCGUCAGCUAACCCGGUAGGCGGUUCACGGAAGGAGUU